RNAcentral lists this non-coding RNA (23 nucleotides) under Arabidopsis thaliana (thale cress). Lineage: Eukaryota; Viridiplantae; Streptophyta; Magnoliopsida; Brassicales; Brassicaceae. The record is from RNAcentral.
UAGUUGGAGGUGCUGGGUCACGG